AUUUUUGGCAAAUGAAAGGUGCAGGAGAAAUUUCAGGACUGGGAAGAUCAUGCCUAGGAGCUGAGAGGGCUCAGAGUUUGCACUUCCCAGUGCACCAUCUUGAAGCACGCUUUACUCUCAGGCCUCUUCCCUGAAGAAUGAAACUACAAUUUCUGAAAGAAGGAACACUUGGCCUUUAAAGCCAUGUUUGAAACUUGGUGGCAAUACCUGGAGAAGCCAGACAUCCAGCCAUGGUCUGCACCAAUCAGCACAGCUGGGAGGACCUCUGGAUGAUCCCUAACCUCCAACAGCACCAACACUUCUGAUCUCUUUCCCACUUCUUGAUUCCAGGACCCAUUAGAUCCUGAGUACCCAAAACUGGUGAGCAGAUCUACUAGCUACUGUCCUACAUUAAAGACUCUCCUUCAGUUCCAAGAAGCUGAACUCACCAGGUUGUGACCUCAGAAAUCCUCCUCGCUGUGAUUCACUGACAGCAGAGCAACAAGGACUGCUGCUUUCAGCCACAGGCCAUGGGUCUUGCCUGCGCUAGCCCAGUAGCCUGGGUGAGAUGCUUCGGGGUGGUGGACUUCUUACUCAUGUGCACCGGUCAGAGCACUGACCCUGAGAUCCAAGCCUGCCCUGCAGUGUUUCAUCCUCAGCUUCUACCUGUCCGGAAUUCAUGAUCCCCACUCUGGAUCUUGGGAUGUCUGAUAGCCAAGGAUCCAGGGAGACGUAGAAGACCAAGGAGAACAUGCCUUGGCAGAACUUAAUGCAAAAAGACAGUGACCUCUUCCAACCCUUGUGGAAUCAAUUGUGGUUGUGUUUAAUCAUUUUUGGUGGGUUUUGUCACAAAUUCUUUCCAUAUUUACUACACUGUUAUCUUCAUAUUUACGGAAAUGGGCUACUUUCCUUGAUGCCAUUGGACAUUCCCUUUACCUUCAGUGAUCCUCAAAUACAUACAUUUUGCAUGGAUUCUUAGAGCCUCCAGUUUGAAUCCAUACCUAGUAGAUUUGUCACUGUAAACAAAGAUCACUUGGAUGAUGUUAAUACACCCUAGAAUUGCAAUGUCUUUGUGUACUACCCACCACCAAGAUAAAUGAAUUGUCCCUAUUCCUAUUUCCACAUUCAUAUAUAAUACAAAUGCCAUGAAAAUAGUCACUUACAAAUAAAAUAGGGAAGCAUCACAUGAAAAACCUUAACCCCUUAUGAACUCAACCAGUGUUUAUUGAGGACCUACUAUGUGCCAAGCAUUGUAUUAAAUUCUGGGACUACAAAGAAUUCUGGACUAAGAAGUUUACAUUUCAGUGGGGGAAGUGAGAUAAUUCAACAGCCUAAUGAGUGCUAGAGCACUGUAAUGAUAGCCAUGAGAAUCCCUCCUCUGUGCUCCUUGAUCACCCACUAGGGUGGCUCACAGAUGAUCUUUUUUUAUGCCAAAGCCACCCACAAGAUUAAAGCCAACAAGCAGCAGUUCAUGGUGGAAACUUCCUGUGGUUAUCCAGAAGAGGCUAGUUACUAAUGUGCCACUUCUAAACCACCUGACCUUUAAACAAGUUAGAUGUUUACUUACUGAACACCUUCCCUGGUUUGUCACCAGACUGGUGACCCUGACAUGAUGACCCAUAGUUGACUGUCAGGCUGUGAAGUCAGAGGACACGUUUCAAAUCUGGGUCCUGGCACUUAUGAUCAUGACUGUGGGCAAAGCACUUCAACUCUUUGAUCUUUGAUGUUUGUCUUUGCAAAAUAAAAAUGAAAACAUUCUAUACUGUACCUACCUCACAGGACUGUUGUGAAAAUCAAGUGAAAAUGUAUGUGAAAGCACUUUGUAAACUGUUAUUUUUUAAUCACCCCAUUUUCCAUGGGUUCUUUAUCCUCCCUACCAAAUACAAUACCUGGAAUCAUGAUUGGCCAGGAAGAUAUAUUCUUAGCCACCCCUCACUCUGGACUAGUGAAUGGUAGGAAGAAAACCAAGUUCAUGUCCUCAUAGAUAUCUGUUUUUAGUGUGGGAAUUCUGAUACCUCACAGAAUGGCAAAAAUAUAUUCCAGGCCCCACAGCUGGAGUCCACCUGCCAUUUAGACAUUCCACCAUGAACAUGCCACUAGACCCAACACCAGCUAGCUUUUGUGAUAGAUUGUCCCAGGGCCCUUUGUGGAGAACUCACUCUUGGCCUUAGAGAACUGAUCAGACUGUGGUGAUUCAAAGAAUCACCUGGGCUCCAGCUGCCAGAAGACACCAGCCUCUCCCCUUGAAUCUAUGCUCUUCAAAAACAGAGUGAGAAGCUUGUUUAAAGGAGACACGGACCCAAUAAAGAAAACUCUCCCUGACUCCCUGAACUAUUAUGGUUGGAUUAGCAAAGGAGCUUCCUAGACACUCGUUUAAAGCAAGGAUUUGGUGACACAUUUCUUCUUUUAGUAGUUUAUUCCUAAGACCAACUUGUUUCCUUGUGCUCUGAUUUUUAUUUGUUUAUUCCCUGUCUGUCCAACAGACCCACGACAAGAUAUGUUCCUGACUUACAAAUCUCAUAUAGUCCCCCUUACACAAAGACACACACAGACACACACACAAACACACACACACCACAUACAGAAUAGAACACUGAGUAAUGUCACCCCUUUUUCCUAUCUGCCCCCAUGGCCAAACCCUGUCUGGCCUACCAUAUCUGAUGAGUCAGUACAUAUUCUGAAUUGGCUCAUCUAAUUGGAGAUGUGCCUCACUGGAGCAAUCUUAACCCAUCCCAAGUUAAAACUUUGAGUCCAUUUUGGUCCUGGCUGGAUGCUUAAAUGAAGUGUCUAUGGAGUAAUUACUGAUGCCCAGCAAUCCUUUAAAUAAAGUGACAUCUUUCUUCUUAAAACCUACCAGUUUCUACAAAAAGAAAAACACAUUAGGAUGUACCUCCAGGAAUAGCAUAAAGGUUCUCCUGAGUAAAUAGAAUGAUGAUUAUGUAUAAAACAUCUAAUAGAAUUUACAACCCAGAAGCUCUGGAGUAAGACCAGAAACCUAUAAUAGAAAAUUUCAACUAAAAUCCAUGCCUCAAGUUCUUAAUGCAAGAAAAGAACACUAUAAGAAAAUUUUUCAUUCAAUGCUAGUAUCAGUUUUCAAAAUAUUUUUACAUAAUACAGAAAAUAAUUCACAACCUCUCCUUGCUCAGAUAUUUAGUGAAUCAAGAAAUCCCUAGAUCUAAAGCUACAAUAUUGCAUUUUUAUUUUAAUAUUUGAAAUAAACUGCAAAGCAUUUUUAAACAGUGUUUUCUUCUGUAGUUUAGAAUCCCCACUUGCUGUGGGAAGGGAGCCAGAGAGACUCAGAGUACCAACCACCCAAGGUCAGGGGCAAGGAGCCAAAGGGUUCAGCAGACAGCAAGCCCAAGCCAGGAAGGAAAGCUGUUGCUGAAAUCACAGAUCAUGCAUAUGAAACAAGACAAUCUCCAGGUCAUGGUAGCCAAGAAGAAAAAAUAGACAGAGCCAAGUUAGGAAGCAAAUUAAGAUGUGGGAACAGGUAUCAGAGGGAAUAAGUCUGGGAAGGAGGUGGAGUCACCUACCCCCAUUUGACACUUGUCUUACAGUAGCCUUUCAGGUGACUUAAAGCAUUACAUCUUAGUUUCCUUUUGUGAAGUAAAAGUCUCAGUUUUAGUGAUGUUGCCUAAUGUAGCCAAACCAAAAUAGCAACUCCUCCUUACCCACAAGCAUCCUUUUUACUACCUUGGUUGAUAAAAUUUUCAUUGUCACAGAGUUUUAAUUUGUUCACAAAUCUUUGAUAAAUGAUUUUAUCAAUAAAUUUUUUGUCAAUAAAUAAUUUCCUUGGUUGAACUCCAGUUCCUUCUUUGGUGAUUAAAAAUCGG
This 3812-nucleotide long non-coding RNA is filed under the name Heterocephalus glaber (naked mole-rat). RNAcentral describes it as "lncRNA (ENSHGLG00100052202.1)". Lineage: Eukaryota; Metazoa; Chordata; Mammalia; Rodentia; Bathyergidae. The record is from RNAcentral.